Long non-coding RNA from Uranotaenia lowii, 906 nucleotides. RefSeq lists it as uncharacterized. The record is from RefSeq and is a predicted model, not a curated record. NCBI's taxonomy places the organism in Eukaryota, Metazoa, Arthropoda, Insecta, Diptera, Culicidae. The transcript has 3 exons.
CCUUACUUGGGCUGCGAAAAAAUAUUUCCAGAUACGGAACGGGCACGCAUCGAUAAAGACAGCAAUCCGCGUCGACCAGCUGAUAUGUUUGCCUGGCGCAUGAUUGAGUGUGAUGCCCAUCGUCGUCAGCGACCCUCGGAUUAGUGCUACCCAGCCAUGACUCCACUCCGACACCCGUUUGCCACCCGCUAAGACUCAACUUCAGCAAAAACAUUCAAAAUGUGUGUCUAUCAAUUCAUGACAACCUGUAUCUGCAUCGGAUGCAACGGUUUUUAUCCAGCUGUAUGGCGGCUGUCGAAAUUUUAGUUCCGCUGGAAGUUCACAUAGAAUAGAGGCUUGGGCAAAUGGAUAACAACCGUGACCAUGAAAAUUGCAACAGCUGUAUGCUCCCGUGGAAACGAUUGUCUGCCAGACAGAAGAGAAGUGACAACUCAAAGGAAUUUUCCUCUCACUGUCCGGUUCCUGAUUUUGAACCCGGGAUAUACGGCGAGUAGAAAUAGAAGAUAUGAAACGGCCUGUCCCUUGGUAGCUGGCAAAUUUGAGCCUGCAUAAUGGUUCCACGCACUAGCCUAACAGAACCAAAAAGAGUGAUUGCAGUUUCCUCAAUUCGGAACAUGGUUCUGCCACAACUGCAAUACCGCAACGGGAGCGAAACAAUAAAGAGAUUCAAACCCGUGAUGCCUCUGCCGAUACUAGAAACUUCGAAAACUUUUUACCAAAAUUUCAACCAGCAGGGAACGCGUUGCUAAUCAUCUGGGGCUUGCCUCCGAACGGACUGUUCAAGGUGGAAAAUGAAGCCAAUUGUGCUCUUGCUGGUGCUUCCGGUGGCCUGCCCCCAGCGAUGGCAACGACUCUUCAAAAGUUGCUUCCUGGUAAUUUUGAGCCGGAAGGAUUAAUUUUGAGAAA